AGUACAGUUAUUCUACCCUUCGUGAUGAUAAAGUUUGUUUUCGUUGAAACUGAUUUUCUCUCGUGAAUUAAUAAAGCUCUUGUAGUUUUUUUAAGGAUAGCAACUAUUCUGAAACUAUCAUGCGACUGUUUAAUAAAGGGCUAGUUCGUGGUGAAGUAUGAUUUAUACGUUUAAGUGUUGAAAGCUAAAAAAAUCGGCGACGUUUUUCUGCUAAGCUUUAACAAUAGCAACGUCUAUGAUAUAAAGGAAGUCAGUUAUAUUUAUGAAAAUAGUGCGUAAAUUUCAUGUUUUAGGAGAUUUGUAAUAAUUCAUGUGGCAAAGGCAAUAUUUUAAAAGAACAUAUACAUACUGAUGCAAAAGAGAAACUUCAUGUGUCUGUAAUUUGUAACAAAUAAUUUAGGCAAAUGAGUGAUUUAAUAGAACAGCUGCUUAUUCAUGCAGGACAGAAACUUCAUAUGUGUGAAGUAGGUACGGAACAAUUUAAUCAAAUGAAUAGUUUAAACAUGCAUAUGCAUGUUUAUGCAGGAAAGAAAAUUUAUGUGUGCAAAAUAUGUAAAAUGCCAUUUAAUCACAAAGGUUAUUUAAAGAAUCAUAUGCUUAUUCAUAAAGGAGAGAAACCUCACGUGUGUGAAGUGUGUGAGAAGUCAUUUAGGAGCAAGGGUGCUUUAAACAUGCAUAUGUAUACUCACACAGGAGAGAAACCUCAUGUGUGUCAAUUUUGUAAAACGUCAUUUAGUUUAAGAGGUAAUUUAAAUAUGCACAUGCUUAUUCACACAGGAGAGAAACGUCAUGUGUGUGAAGUAUGUGAAAAGUCAUUUAGAUUAAAAGCUACUUUAAACAGGCAUAAGCUUAUUCACACAACAGAGAAAUCGCAUGUAUGUGAAGUUUGUAUGAAGUCAUUUAGAUUAAAAACUUCUUUAAACAGGCAUAUGCUUAGUCACACAGCAGAGAAGUCUCAUGUGUGUGAAAUAUGUAAGAAAUCAUUUUGUCAUAAAACUAGUUUAAAUGCACACAGGCUUACACACACAGGAGAGAAACCUCAUGUGUGUGAAGUAUGCAUGAAAACAUUUACUCAAAAGUGUAGUUUAAACAUGCAUAUGCGUAUUCACACAGGACAGAAAUCUCAUAUGUGUGAAGUAUGUAAGGAAACAUUUACCCAAAAGGUUACAUUAAACAUGCAUAUACUUACUCACACACAAGUGAAACAGCACGAGUGUGAGGUAUGUAAGAAGUCAUUUAUACGAAAGGUCAGUUUAAAUAAACAUAUGCUUACUCACAGUGGAGAAAAACCUCAUAUGUGUGAAGUAUGUAAAAAAUCAUUUAGACUUAGACAGAAUUUAAUUGCCCAUAUGCGUAUUCACACAGGAGAGAAACCUCGUGUGAGGUAUGGAAGAGGUCGUAUAGUCCAAAAGGUAAUUUAAACAUAUGCAUAUUCUUACGGGAGACAAACCUUGCAUGCGAGGUAUGUAAAUGUGAUAGUAAAUAGUGAUUUAAAUUUCUGAUUUCUUUACUGCUAAUGGAAUUGAAGUCUUAUAAGUUAACUAGUCAUUUUGACAAAUGAAGAAACAUGUUUAUGUAUGCUGAAAGAAGCUUUAUAUCUGAAGGAAGAUUUAGGUUAGUAACAACCUGUAAUUUUCAGUGCAAUAGGACUUAUGCAUGAAGCAUAGAAUCUUCACUAUGUAAGGUCAACUAUGUUUUAAUUGCAGUGGAUAGCAAAAUUCCUAGAAUUUAGAGAUCACUCACCGUUAGAAUUUAAGAUAUGCAGAUUACUUUUUAGGAUCAUCAAUGUGCCAUGUGGCCUAGAGUCUACUGCUGACCCUGUGUGACGUUGGAGGAACAAUUAGUCACUAAUUAUUGGUAACUUUUCGGGAGGACUGAGGCAGCAUCUGAAGACAAUGCUUAAUCUACCCCAAAGUUGUUUUGAAGACUACUUUGGAUAUGUAAAAUUCUGAGCCCGGGAAAA
This 1963-nucleotide unclassified non-coding RNA is filed under the name Stegodyphus dumicola. RNAcentral describes it as "zinc finger protein 567-like, transcript variant X2". Lineage: Eukaryota; Metazoa; Arthropoda; Arachnida; Araneae; Eresidae. The record is from RNAcentral.